RNAcentral lists this ribosomal RNA (446 nucleotides) under uncultured bacterium. Its description in RNAcentral is "bacterial SSU rRNA". It matches the Rfam family "Bacterial small subunit ribosomal RNA", at positions 337 to 797 of the family's 1533-position model. The record is from RNAcentral.
GCCUACGGGGGGCUGCAGUAAGGGAUAUUGCGCCAAUGGGCGAAAGCCUGACGCAGCAACGCCGCGUGCGGGAGGACGGCCUUCGGGUUGUAAACCGCUUUUCCGGGGGAAGAGGGAGGACGGUACCCUGGGAAGAAGUCUCGGCUAACUACGUGCCAGCAGCCGCGGUAAAACGUAGGAGGCGAGCGUUAUCCGGAUUUACUGGGUGUAAAGCGCGUGCAGGCGGUGACGUAAGUCGUGCGUGAAAGCGCUCUGGCUCAACCGGGCGAGGACGUGGGGAACUGCGUGACUAGAGGCAGGUAGAGGCGUGUGGAAUUCCGGGUGUAGUGGUGAAAUGCGUAGAGAUCCGGAGGAACACCAGUGGCGAAGGCGACGCGCUGGGCCUGGCCUGACGCUAAGACGCGAAAGCAUGGGGAGCGAACGGGAUUAGAUACCCUUGUAGUCCC